UCUGGCGGCACUGCCGCUCGCGCUCACCAUCGAUCGCAUCACCAAUGGACUGACCCGGCCAUUCUUCGGUUGGGUAUCGGAUCGCAUCGGACGUGAGAAUACGAUGGGCCUCGCGUUUAUCUUCGAAGGCAUCGCCAUCGCAUUGAUGGUCGCCUUCCGCGACAACGCGCUUGCGUUCGUGCUGCUGUCGGGCGUCGUGUUCUUCGGCUGGGGC
This 214-nucleotide unclassified non-coding RNA is filed under the name Hevea brasiliensis (rubber tree). The record is from RNAcentral. Lineage: Eukaryota; Viridiplantae; Streptophyta; Magnoliopsida; Malpighiales; Euphorbiaceae.